AUGCGACAGCAAACCCUACAACGUAGUCUUGGACUCAGCUGGGACGUAAACACUGACAACUUCUUAUUUCAAUUAUCAUCAGAAAACAAACCGAUCACUCGGAGAGGAAUUUUAUCUACGAUAAACAGUCUCUACGAUCCUCUUGGAUUUUUGGCUCCAGUGAUUAUUCAAGGGAAACUCCUAUUAAGGAAAAUAGUAUCAGAAACCGUCGAUUGGGACCAACCUCUCUCUGAUGAAACAGCAGCGGAGUGGAAAUCUUGGAGAGAUACUCUAAUUGCUAUCGAAACAUUACGCAUUCCACGUACCUACGUACCGUAUCUCAGCAAAACAGCCACAAAGGAGUUGCAUGUCUUCUCUGAUGCAUCAGAAAAAGCCAUAGCAGCUGUUGCAUAUCUACGCACGACCGACAGUAGUGGUGAACCUAACAUAGGGUUCAUUCUUGGGAAAGCUAAAGUUGCACCAAACGAGUGGUCACACUAUUCCACGACUUGAAUUAUCUGCUGCUGUAUUAGCAGUUGAGAUUACACAAACCAUUGUGGAUAAUUUAGAUUUACAUAUAGACACCGUGAAAUUCUACACAGACAGUAAAGUUGUCUUAGGUUACAUCAGUAAUGAGACAAGAAGGUUCUUUAUCUAUGUCGCCAAUAGAGUAGAGAAAAUAAGGAAAUUUAGCUCUCCAAGUCAAUGGAAUUACGUACCAACUAACCGUAAUCCCGCAGAUUCGGGAACAAGGUCCGUACCAGCCCACGAAAUUCAUAGCAGUGAAUGGUUAUUGGGACCAAGACAACUUCUUUCCUCAGAACAGAAGAAUUCUGAGGACAUAUAUCAGCUAAUAGAUCCAGAGGAAGAUGGAGAAAUUCGUGCAACUGUUAAUGUUGCAAAAACAUUUGCCACACUUGAACAUAAAGGUAUCGGAACUGAAAGAUUCAACAGAUUCUCAAACUGGACAUCACUUGUGCGAGCGAUAGCCUUUUUUAGAACGUUUCUCCCGUUUACACGGGUCAAAACAGGCAGCACCAGUGAAUUCUCUGGAAGGAUUUUCGAAUGCCGAAAAUUUCAUCUUAAUAUCUGCUCAAUUUGAAGUUUACGGAGAAGAAAUAGAUUGCAUUAAACGUCGGGAACAAAUUCAUAAGCGGAGCCCGAUAGCUAACUUAAAUCCGUUUUUGGACGAACGAGGACUAUUACGAGUAGGAGGCCGUAUUGCUAAAUCUGACUUAAACCUCCGUGAAAAGAAACCAUUGAUCGUCCCUGGACGCCAUCAUAUAGCGACAUUAUUAGUUCCGACACUACCAUGACAAGAUAAAACAUCAAGGUCGCCACUUCACAGAUGGAGCGAUUCGAUCCGCAGGAUUCUGGAUCGUCGGAGCUAAAGCGCUUGAUCUCUUCUCUCAUUCACAAAUGUGUGUGACAUGCCGCAAACUAAGAGGAAAAACUGAGUGUCAAAUCAUGUCUGAUUUGCCAGAGGACCGUCUUGAACCGUCACCUCCGUUUACCAACGUUGGAAUAGACACAUUUGGACCCUGGACAAUUGUUUCACGUAAAACACGUGGUGGAUACGCAAACUCAAAACGUUGGGCAAUUCUUUUCACAUGCUUAGUGACUAGAGCUGUUCACAUCGAACUAAUCGAGGAAAUGAGCUCUUCAGCCUUCAUAAACGCCGUCAGAAGAUUCGCCGCUAUAAGAGGUCAAGUUAAAAUUUUCCGAUCCGACCGUGGAACAAACUUUAUUGGCGCAAUCGACGAUUUAAAGAUUGACUCAAUCAACGUUGAAGAUGGACCCUUCAAGAACUUUCUGUACAAUUCUGGUACAACUUGGAUCUUCAAUCCGCCGCAUUCGUCCCACAUGGGUGGAGCCUGGGAGAGAAUGAUUGGUAUCACCAGGAGAAUUCUUGAUUCUAUGCUUCUAAAUGCAGCCGGAAGAAGCCUUACGCAUGACGUGCUCAACACACUAAUGGCAGAAGUUUCAGCAAUAGUGAACUCUAGACCUCUGGUACCGGUAUCAACAGAUCCAGAGAAUCCGUUAAUAUUAACUCCGGCUAUGUUAUUGACACAGAAAACCGACUACAUAUUCACCUCAGAUCAUCUUGGAGAAUUCGAUAAACGAGAUCUAUGUCUUGCCGAAUGGAGACGAGUACAGGCUCUUGCCAGUGUUUUCUGGUCCCGUUGGAGGAAAGAGUACCUGCCGUUACUACAACAACGACGAAAAUGGACCGAAGAUCGCCGUGAUCUCAUCGAAGGAGACGUCAUUCUUCUAAAGGACAAAAACCUUUGCCGUACCCAAUGGCCCGUUGGAAUUAUAGUGAACUCAUUUAAAAGUUCAGACGAACAUGUCCGAAAAGCAGAAGUGCGAGUAAUCGUUAAUGGAAAAGCCACAACCUACACACGCCCUAUCGUGGACAUGAUUCUUCUCGUAGAGAACAACCCUGUGUAAUUAUGUGUAUAUAUAUAUAUAUUGGAUUUAUAGAUCAGGAUAUUCACAGUGUGUUAUAUUUAUGGAAUAGUGAUAUCAGAUAGACAUCAGACGGGGAGUAUUCUGUUUCACAUUCUAUGUUUAUUACAUGUUUUCAUAUUUAUCCGGAACAAAUUGAACUGGACCGAUUUCUCUCAAUCACCGUAUUUAUCGACUACCUUUAAUUUCUGUGACACCGUCCGCUUCAAUAUUUCAACACAUGGAAAAUGGACGACAUUUGAACUUUCUGAGGAAAUCGAGACAUACCACUGUCAAGUACGUUUGAUUCAAUCAUAAACUGUGAUAAAUUAAUCUGUUUAACUCCGUUAUUUUUGGAUAAGUGAUUUAUAAAUACAUACGAACUGUAAGUUAUUUAUUUCCGAGAAAUGAACUGUAAAUUCUACUUUCGUUUUUGACUCGAUUAAUAAUCUUGUAUUUAACUUUCAUAUUUAAUUCGUACACAUUGUAAAAUAUUGUAUUUUUAUUUCUUUCAGUUUACCAAUCUACUGACUAUUAUGUAAACCUUUCUGGUGGAAUUUAUAAUUACAAUUUCAAACAAGUUGUGUUCGUUAUAUCUUCAUCGAGAUUGCGAUUGCAGUCACCUGGUUAA
This 3058-nucleotide small RNA is filed under the name Mytilus galloprovincialis (Mediterranean mussel). The record is from RNAcentral. Lineage: Eukaryota; Metazoa; Mollusca; Bivalvia; Mytilida; Mytilidae.